AAUAAGCGCAACCAUUUUGUGUCUAACUUUGAUCGUCCGUUUUAUUUUAAAUUUUUUAUGAUUAGUAUUUUUAUUGUUGUUAGAUUAUAAAACACAAAUAAUACUUUAUGUGUGACUUAUGUUCUUUAGUUUUUUCAAAAAAAAUUAAAUAAAACGGAUGAUUAAAGUUGGACACGGAAAUUCAUGGCUAUGCUUAUU
Molecule: non-coding RNA, 198 nt
Organism: Oryza meridionalis
Lineage: Eukaryota; Viridiplantae; Streptophyta; Magnoliopsida; Poales; Poaceae
Source: Rfam